RNAcentral lists this ribosomal RNA (444 nucleotides) under uncultured bacterium. RNAcentral describes it as "bacterial SSU rRNA". It matches the Rfam family "Bacterial small subunit ribosomal RNA", at positions 331 to 792 of the family's 1533-position model. The record is from RNAcentral.
CCAGACUCCUACGGGAGGCAGCAGUGGGGGAUAUUGCACAAUGGGGGCAACCCUGAUGCAGCGACGCCGCGUGAGCGAUGGAGUACUUCGGUAUGUAAAGCUCUGUCAGCAGGGAAGAGAAUGACGGUACCUGACCAAGAAGCCCCGGCUAACUACGUGCCAGCAGCCGCGGUAAUACGUAGGGGGCAAGCGUUAUCCGGAUUUACUGGGUGUAAAGGGAGCGUAGACGGCUGUGCAAGCCAGAUGUGAAAGCCCGGGGCUCAACCCCGGGACUGCAUUUGGAACUGCGUGGCUUGAGUGUCGGAGAGGCAGGCGGAAUUCCUGGUGUAGCGGUGAAAUGCGUAGAUAUCAGGAGGAACACCGGCGGCGAAGGCGGCCUGCUGGACCGCGACUGACGUUGAGGCUCGAAAGCGUGGGGAGCGAACAGGAUUAGAUACCCCUGUA